UCUGCGGCCUUUUUUAAGGCCAUAAUCAAAUUGCAUCAGGCAGUGG
This is a non-coding RNA of Saprospira grandis str. Lewin, 46 nucleotides long. The record is from Rfam. NCBI's taxonomy places the organism in Bacteria, Pseudomonadati, Bacteroidota, Saprospiria, Saprospirales, Saprospiraceae.